RNAcentral lists this ribosomal RNA (1212 nucleotides) under uncultured organism. RNAcentral's name for it is "bacterial SSU rRNA". It matches the Rfam family "Bacterial small subunit ribosomal RNA", at positions 158 to 1375 of the family's 1533-position model. The record is from RNAcentral.
UCGGAUUAACACUCCAUAAUACUGCGAGAAGGCAUCUUUUUUCAGUUAAAGCUUCGGCGGUCAGAGAUGGGCAUGCGUAACAUUAGCUGGUUGGUGAGGUAACAGCUCACCAAGGCUACGAUGUUUAGGGGGUCUGAGAGGAUGGUCCCCCACACUGGUACUGAGACACGGACCAGACUCCUACGGGAGGCAGCAGUGAGGAAUAUUGGUCAAUGGGCGAAAGCCUGAACCAGCCAUGCCGCGUGAAGGAUGACGGCCCUAUGGGUUGUAAACUUCUUUUAUACGGGAAGAAACCCCUCUACGUGUAGGGGGCUGACGGUACCGUACGAAUAAGCAUCGGCUAACUCCGUGCCAGCAGCCGCGGUAAUACGGAGGAUGCAAGCGUUAUCCGGAUUUAUUGGGUUUAAAGGGUGCGUAGGCGGAAAAUUAAGUCAGUGGUGAAAUCCUGCAGCUUAACUGUAGAAUUGUCAUUGAUACUGGUUUUCUUGAAUACAGUUGAGGUAGGCGGAAUGAGUAAUGUAGCGGUGAAAUGCUUAGAUAUUACUCAGAACACCAAUUGCGGAGGCAGCUUACUAAACUGUGAUUGACGCUGAGGCACGAAAGCGUGGGGAGCGAACAGGAUUAGAUACCCUGGUAGUCCACGCCGUAAACGAUGAUCACUCGUUGUUGGCAAUACACCGUCAGCGACUGAGCGAAAGUGUUAAGUGAUCCACCUGGGGAGUACGAUUGCAAGAUUGAAACUCAAAGGAAUUGACGGGGGCCCGCACAAGCGGAGGAACAUGUGGUUUAAUUCGAUGAUACGCGAGGAACCUUACCUGGGCUUAAAUGCAUAACGACGGAUCGGGAAACUGGUCUUUCUUCGGACGGAAUGCAAGGUGCUGCAUGGCUGUCGUCAGCUCGUGCCGUGAGGUGUCGGGUUAAGUCCCAUAACGAGCGCAACCCUCAUCAUUAGUUGCCAGCGGGUAAUGCCGGGGACUCUAAUGAAACUGCCGGUGUAAACCGAGAGGAAGGCGAGGAUGACGUCAAGUCAGCACGGCCCUUAUGUCCAGGGCUACACACGUGUUACAAUGGUCAGUACAAAGGGCAGCUACCAGGCAACUGGAUGCUAAUCUCAAAAGCUGGUCACAGUUCGGAUCGGAGUCUGCAACUCGACUUCGUGAAGUUGGAUUCGCUAGUAAUCGCGCAUCCGCCAUGGCGCGGUGAUACGUUCCC